AGUAACACGUGAGCAACCUGGCUCUAAGAGGGGGACGAACAGUUGAACGACUGCUAAUACCGCAUAACGUAUCGGGAUGGCAUCUUCCUGAUACCAAAGAUUUUAUCGCUUAGAGAUGGGCUCGCGUCUGAUUAGAUAGUUGGCGGGGUAACGGCCCACCAAGUCGACGAUCAGUAGCCGGACUGAGAGGUUGAACGGCCACAUUGGGACUGAGACACGGCCCAGACUCCUACGGGAGGCAGCAUG
RNAcentral lists this ribosomal RNA (246 nucleotides) under uncultured bacterium. RNAcentral describes it as "partial 16S ribosomal RNA". It matches the Rfam family "Bacterial small subunit ribosomal RNA", at positions 109 to 353 of the family's 1533-position model. The record is from RNAcentral.